This 1360-nucleotide ribosomal RNA is filed under the name Klebsiella pneumoniae. RNAcentral's name for it is "bacterial SSU rRNA". The stretch from base 358 to 1360 matches the Rfam family "Bacterial small subunit ribosomal RNA". Lineage: Bacteria; Pseudomonadati; Pseudomonadota; Gammaproteobacteria; Enterobacterales; Enterobacteriaceae. The record is from RNAcentral.
CCGGGGCCCCUAUUGCGCAGCGUUGGGCCCCAUGGUCACAACUGGUCGGCCUCAUGGGCCUUUUGUGGAUAGCUGCUUGCUUAGCAGAGCCCGCAACCAGGAGGCAAGUUUCGGCCGCGGAGUAUAUUUGACCCGGGGGGGAAUUUGAAGGGUUACCCCAAUCCCAGAAAGGGGCUUCGCCCCCCUCAAUCCCAGGGUUAUUGGGGGGUACGCCCCUGGGGCGUCCUAGUGUUAGGGGAGCCAGCCCCGGAAUGGCCCGUCAGCUCUAGGGAGCACAUGGGAUUUGCCAUGGCGCAGCUGACCACCAUCCGCGGGUGAGAAGCUUCGGUUUAAGCAUUCAGCGGGAGAAGCGUAAGUUAUACCUGGCGAUGCGUACCGCAGAGAACACGGCUACUCCGGCCACAGCGCGGUAUACGAGGGGCAAGCGUUAUCGAAUACUGGCGUAAGCGCCGCAGCGGUCUUCAAGUGGAUUGAAUCCCCGGCUCACCUGGGAAUGCAUCCGAACUGGCAGCUAGAGUCUGUAGAGGGGGUAGAUUCCAGGUUAGCGUGAAUGCGUAGAAUCGGAGGACACCGGUGCGAAGGCGCCCCCUGGACAAGACUGACGCUCAGGUGGAAAGCGUGGGAGCAAACAGGAUUAGAUACCCUGGUAGUCCACGCCGUAAACGAUGUCGAUUUGGAGGUUGUGCCCUUGAGGCGUGGCUUCCGGAGCUAACGCGUUAAAUCGACCGCCUGGGGAGUACGGCCGCAAGGUUAAAACUCAAAUGAAUGACGGGGGCCCGCACAAGCGGUGGAGCAUGUGGUUUAAUUCGAUGCAACGCGAAGAACCUUACCUGGUCUUGACAUCCACAGAACUUUCCAGAGAUGGAUUGGUGCCUUCGGGAACUGUGAGACAGGUGCUGCAUGGCUGUCGUCAGCUCGUGUUGUGAAAUGUUGGGUUAAGUCCCGCAACGAGCGCAACCCUUAUCCUUUGUUGCCAGCGGUUCGGCCGGGAACUCAAAGGAGACUGCCAGUGAUAAACUGGAGGAAGGUGGGGAUGACGUCAAGUCAUCAUGGCCCUUACGACCAGGGCUACACACGUGCUACAAUGGCAUAUACAAAGAGAAGCGACCUCGCGAGAGCAAGCGGACCUCAUAAAGUAUGUCGUAGUCCGGAUUGGAGUCUGCAACUCGACUCCAUGAAGUCGGAAUCGGUAGUAAUCGUAGAUCAGAAUGCUCCGGGGAAUACGUUCCCGGCCCUGGUACACACCGCCCGUCACACCAUGGGAGUGGGUGCACAAGAAGUAGGUAGCUUAACCUUCGGGAGGGCGCUUACCACUUAGUGAUUCAUGACUGGGGGAAGUCGAAGCAAGAUAUCAGGCCCC